GAUGAACGCUAGCGAUAGGCUUAACACAUGCAAGUCGAGGGGCAGCAUGGUCUUAGCUUGCUAAGACUGAUGGCGACCGGCGCACGGGUGCGUAACGCGUAUGCAACUUGCCUCACAGAGGGGGAUAACCCGUCGAAAGACGGACUAAUACCGCGUACACUUGGGAUAGGGCAUCCUGACCCAAGGAAAUGAAAUUCGCUGUGAGAUAGGCAUGCGUCCCAUUAGCUAGUUGGUGAGGUAACGGCUCACCAAGGCGACGAUGGGUAGGGGAACUGAGAGGUUGAACCCCCACACUGGUACUGGGAACCGGACCAGACUCCUACGGGAGGCAGCAGUGAGGAAUAUUGGUCAAUGGGCGAGAGCAUGAACCAGCCAAGUCGCGUGAAGGAUGACUGUCUUAUGGAUUGUAAACUUCUUUUAUACGGGAAUAACAAGAGUCACGUGUGGCUCCCUGCAUGUACCGUAUGAAUAAGCAUCGGCUAACUCCGUG
Molecule: ribosomal RNA, 490 nt
Filed under: uncultured bacterium
Lineage: Bacteria
Description: partial 16S ribosomal RNA
Rfam family: Bacterial small subunit ribosomal RNA
Source: RNAcentral